UGGGGAAUUUUCCGCAAUGGGCGAAAGCCUGACGGAGCAAUGCCGCGUGGAGGUGGAAGGCCUACGGGUCGUCAACAUCUUUUCUCGGAGAAGAAGCAAUGACGGUAUCUGAGGAAUAAGCAUCGGCUAACUCUGUGGCAG
Molecule: ribosomal RNA, 141 nt
Filed under: uncultured bacterium
Lineage: Bacteria
Description: partial 16S rRNA
Rfam family: Bacterial small subunit ribosomal RNA
Source: RNAcentral